This 399-nucleotide ribosomal RNA is filed under the name uncultured bacterium. RNAcentral describes it as "bacterial SSU rRNA". It matches the Rfam family "Bacterial small subunit ribosomal RNA", at positions 975 to 1375 of the family's 1533-position model. The record is from RNAcentral.
CCAGGCUUGAACUGCGAGUGACAUCCUACGAAAGUAGGCUUCCGCAAGGACACUCGUAGAGGUGCUGCAUGGCUGUCGUCAGCUCGUGUCGUGAGAUGUUGGGUUAAGUCCCGCAACGAGCGCAACCCUUGUCUUCUGUUGCCAUCGGGUUAUGCCGGGCACUCUGAAGAGACUGCCGGUGACAAACCGGAGGAAGGUGGGGAUGACGUCAAGUCAGCAUGGCCUUUAUGUCUGGGGCCACACACGUGCUACAAUGGCCGGUACAAACCGUCGCAAACUCGCGAGGGUGAGCUAAUAGGAGAAAGCCGGUCUCAGUUCGGAUUGUAGGCUGCAACUCGCCUGCAUGAAGUUGGAAUCGCUAGUAAUCGCGGAUCAGCACGCCGCGGUGAAUACGUUCCC